RNAcentral lists this ribosomal RNA (253 nucleotides) under uncultured bacterium. Its description in RNAcentral is "partial 16S ribosomal RNA". It matches the Rfam family "Bacterial small subunit ribosomal RNA", at positions 524 to 776 of the family's 1533-position model. The record is from RNAcentral.
UACGGAGGGGGCUAGCGUUGUUCGGAAUUACUGGGCGUAAAGCGCACGUAGGCGGAUCAGUCAGUUAGAGGUGAAAGCCCAGGGCUCAACCCUGGAACUGCCUUUAAUACUGCUGGUCUGGAGUCCGAGAGAGGUGAGUGGAAUUCCGAGUGUAGAGGUGAAAUUCGUAGAUAUUCGGAGGAACACCAGUGGCGAAGGCGGCACACUGGCUCGGUACUGACGCUGAGGUGCGAAAGCGUGGGGAGCAAACAGG